RNAcentral lists this unclassified non-coding RNA (383 nucleotides) under uncultured fungus. RNAcentral describes it as "partial contains small subunit ribosomal RNA, internal transcribed spacer 1, and 5.8S ribosomal RNA". The stretch from base 1 to 73 matches the Rfam family "Eukaryotic small subunit ribosomal RNA", at positions 1759 to 1831 of the family's 1831-position model. The record is from RNAcentral. Lineage: Eukaryota; Fungi.
UCAAACUUGGUCAUUUAGAGGAAGUAAAAGUCGUAACAAGGUUUCCGUAGGUGAACCUGCGGAAGGAUCAUUAUUGAAUGAACUUGGUCAGGCUGUUGCUGGCUCCUCGGGGCAUGUGCACGCCUGUCGCCAACUUCUCUUUACCACCUGUGCACCUUUUUGUAGACUUGGAAGCACCCCUCCGAGGUCAACUCGGGUUUGGAGGGACUGCUGCGGUGCCACUUCUUUGUGCCCCAGCUUUUUCCCUCGCCUGUUCUCUGGUCUACGUCCCUAUUGUAUCGCCGUAUGUCAAAGAAUGUAUCAUUGCAGGCUUUGAUGCCUGAAAACCUAAUACAACUUUCAACAACGGAUCUCUUGGCUCUCGCAUCGAUGAAGAACGCAGC